CUUUGGGACACAUUUAACGCUUCUUGGUUCAGAAUCUUAAUAAAUUUAAGACUUCAGUAUCCAGAAACCUAGCUUAAUCUGAUAAUAAGAGGUCCCGUCUCCACAUGACUGAAAUUUUGUCCAGAACUACAAAAUUAACAGUUCUAGUCUUUCAGAAUUUUGAAGGGGCCCAGAUUCUUCUAGACGCCACAGACUUCUUGCCCCAUCAAUGUGUUUCCAAAACUGGGUCCUGGAUAAUGACCACAUAAUCCACGUAGGCGCCACAAACUUCUUGUCCCAACCUAAGAAUAAUAACCUGAUGCACAUAUCACCUAAAAUCUCUAGUUUUCUUAGAAGC
RNAcentral lists this long non-coding RNA (337 nucleotides) under Elaeis guineensis (African oil palm). Its description in RNAcentral is "long non-coding RNA (EGUI_LNC013641)". Lineage: Eukaryota; Viridiplantae; Streptophyta; Magnoliopsida; Arecales; Arecaceae. The record is from RNAcentral.